Molecule: ribosomal RNA, 514 nt
Filed under: uncultured bacterium
Lineage: Bacteria
Description: partial 16S ribosomal RNA
Rfam family: Bacterial small subunit ribosomal RNA
Source: RNAcentral
GAUGAACGCUGGCGGCGUGCCUAAUACAUGCAAGUCGAGCGAAUGGAUUAAGAGCUUGCUCUUAUGAAGUUAGCGGCGGACGGGUGAGUAACACGUGGGUAACCUGCCCAUAAGACUGGGAUAACUCCGGGAAACCGGGGCUAAUACCGGAUAACAUUUGAACCGCAUGGUUCGAAAUUGAAAGGCGGCUUCGGCUGUCACUUAUGGAUGGACCCGCGUCGCAUUAGCUAGUUGGUGAGGUAACGGCUCACCAAGGCAACGAUGCGUAGCCGACCUGAGAGGGUGAUCGGCCACACUGGGACUGAGACACGGCCCAGACUCCUACGGGAGGCAGCAGUAGGGAAUCUUCCGCAAUGGACGAAAGUCUGACGGAGCAACGCCGCGUGAGUGAUGAAGGCUUUCGGGUCGUAAAACUCUGUUGUUAGGGAAGAACAAGUGCUAGUUGAAUAAGCUGGCACCUUGACGGUACCUAACCAGAAGGCCACGGCUAACUACGUGCCAGCAGCCGCCGCAG